This 1283-nucleotide unclassified non-coding RNA is filed under the name Hevea brasiliensis (rubber tree). The record is from RNAcentral. Lineage: Eukaryota; Viridiplantae; Streptophyta; Magnoliopsida; Malpighiales; Euphorbiaceae.
AUUAAAUUGGCUUCUGAGCUAGAGAGAAUUGCUUCUUUGAAGGCUCAGUCAAAUAUAGUAUCAAAGGAAAUACAUUCCAUUCACAUAAAUCCAUCUUGUCAAAAUCAAUUGGCAUUUCAUCUUGAUGAUGGCUGGUCAGGUGUUUUGGAUGUCCAUAGUUUGAAAGUCACACAUAUUCAUUGUCCUCCUCCACCUUGGUUGGAUGGCUUCAAUGAUUUGGCUAACUUACGUUGUUUACGGAAACCUUCAUGGAUACCAGCGUAUUCUAUUUAUGUGGUUGGAUCAUUGUCAAGUAAUGGGCUCUAUCUUUUGGAUUUCUAUCCAGAUCGAAGCUCCCCUUGCCAUGUGGAUUUCAAUGAAGAGAUGCAAGAGCUUUGUGGAGGAAAGAGCCUGCAGAAGCAAAAUCAAUUCAUUCCAACAACUGAAGGUGUUACUGCAUGUAUUACUCACCCCUCAAGUGGAACCAUUGUGGUUGGAACCAAGCACUCGUCGCUCCUGGUGAUUUCACAAAUAGGCAAGUCAUUUCAAGGUGCAUAUGAUUCUCCUUGCUCAGAAGGCAAUCUUAGAAGAACCAGCUAAAUAUCACAUGCUUAUACACAUCUACCAAGCUAGAAUUCAGUUGCGCAUAGUGCAGCAGGAAGAUAUUGGCAGUGCUGAGCUUUACAUGAAUGUGUGAAGUCUUUGUUAGAGGGCAAGGUUUCGGACCACAUGUCAUUUGAAUGUACAAAGGAUAUGUAGAGGCAGGUGAAGAUUGCUCCGUCUGCUUUAUGUGUGAAUCAUGGAAGAAUAUUGUCUGCCCUGAGUAAUGAUUCACUGAAGUUGAUGUCGACCCCAGCUAGAUCCUUGAGCAAGUGAAUGAGGUGGUAUAAAUAUAGCCGUCAACUUUAUGCUUUGUGGAGGUGUUAGUCGUAAAUAGUGGAUGCAGCUGUAUCUACAGUGACUGACUUACAAUUCUGGAUUUUUGUUGAUAUUUUUCACUUGUGUGUUUUCGUGGUAUAGUGGGUGAUCAUUCCUUUGCGUCUAUAACAUCCAUAUCCCUUCAUUACUGUGCUUUAGCAAUGCUAUUGCUUGUACAGCUUCCAGGAGGUGCACCAUCCACAAUAUUCUCCUGUUAUCAUGUUAAAAUUAUGCAUCCGCCAGUUUUUCCAGGGUUCGUCUUGUCAAUGGAUUUGAUUUGGGAACUAUGUUUAUUUAUAAAAUUUUAAUUUUCAAGAUUGAUUUUUAAAUGAUGACUAAAUAUAUACAUUUUCAAAGUUAAUUUUUGUGAAGGUGAGGUUCACUUA